RNAcentral lists this ribosomal RNA (744 nucleotides) under uncultured Actinomycetes bacterium. RNAcentral's name for it is "bacterial SSU rRNA". It matches the Rfam family "Bacterial small subunit ribosomal RNA", at positions 28 to 784 of the family's 1533-position model. Lineage: Bacteria; Bacillati; Actinomycetota; Actinomycetes. The record is from RNAcentral.
GAUGAACGCUGGCGGCGCGCCUAACACAUGCAAGUCGAACGGUUAAAGCACCUUUUAGGUGUGUAUAAAGUGGCGAACGGCUGAGUAACACGUGGGCAACCUGCCCUCCUCUUGGGGAUAGCCUCGGGAAACCGAGGAUAAUACCCGAUACUUCAAUGUGGCCGCAUGACGACAUUGAGAAAGCUUUUGCGGAGAAGGAUGGGCCCGCGGCCUGUUAGCUUGUUGGUGGGGUAGAGGCCUACCAAGGCAAUGAUGGGUAGCUGGGUUGAGAGACCGACCAGCCAGAUUGGGACUGAGACACGGCCCAGACUCCUACGGGAGGCAGCAGUGGGGAAUCUUGCACAAUGGGCGAAAGCCUGACGCAGCGACGCCGCGUGCGGGACGAAGGCCUUCGGGUUGUAAACCGCUUUCAGCAGGGACGAGGCGAAAGUGACGGUACCUGCAGAAGAAGCCCCGGCUAACUACGUGCCAGCAGCCGCGGUAAUACGUAGGGGGCAAGCGUUAUCCGGAUUCAUUGGGCGUAAAGCGCUCGUAGGCGGUCUGUUAGGUCGGGAGUUAAAUCCGGAGGCUCAACCUCCGCCCGCUCCCGAUACCGGCAGACUUGAGUUUGGUAGGGGAAGGUGGAAUUCCUAGUGUAGCGGUGGAAUGCGCAGAUAUUAGGAAGAACACCAGUGGCGAAGGCGGCCUUCUGGGCCAUAACUGACGCUGAGGAGCGAAAGCUAGGGGAGCAAACAGGAUUAGAUA